GGAUCAUUACUGAGUAUCUUACUCUCUACCCUUUGUGAACCAUUAUACCUGUUGCUCGGCGGCGCCCUCUCGGGGGCGCCCGCCGGCUAUAUCAGAAUCUCUGUUUUCGAACCCGACGAUACUUCUGAGUGUUCUUAGCGAACUGUCAAAACUUUUAACAACGGAUCUCUUGGCUCCAGCAUCGAUGAAGAACGCAGCGAAACGCGAUAUGUAAUGUGAAUUGCAGAAUUCAGUGAAUCAUCGAAUCUUUGAACGCACAUGGCGCCUUCCAGUAUCCUGGGAGGCAUGCCUGUCCGAGCGUCGUUUCAACCCUCGAGCCCCAGUGGCCCGGCGUUGGGGAUCUGCCACGGCAGGCCCCUAAAACCAGUGGCGGACCCGAAGGGCCCUCUCCUUUGCGCAGUAGCAUCAGCCUCGCAUCGGGAGCCCUCGGCGUCCUGCCUCUAAACCCCCCCCAAAGCCCGCCUAGCGGCACCAAGGUGACCUCGGAUCAGGUAGGAAUA
RNAcentral lists this unclassified non-coding RNA (500 nucleotides) under Plectosphaerella cucumerina. RNAcentral describes it as "partial contains ITS1, 5.8S rRNA, ITS2". The stretch from base 150 to 303 matches the Rfam family "5.8S ribosomal RNA". Lineage: Eukaryota; Fungi; Ascomycota; Sordariomycetes; Glomerellales; Plectosphaerellaceae. The record is from RNAcentral.